Molecule: ribosomal RNA, 403 nt
Filed under: uncultured bacterium
Lineage: Bacteria
Description: bacterial SSU rRNA
Rfam family: Bacterial small subunit ribosomal RNA
Source: RNAcentral
AGCGAACGUUAGCGGCGGGCCUAACACAUGCAAGUCGAACGAGAAUGUAGGCUUCGGUCUACUAGUAAAGUGGCGGACGGGUGCGUAACACGUGGGUAAUCUACCUUCCGGCGGGGGACAACAGUCCGAAAGGAUUGCUAAUACCGCAUACGUCAGCGGCGCCUACGGGCGCUGUUGGGAAAGAUGGCCUCUCCUUGGAAGCUGUCACCGGAAGAUGAGCCCGCGUCCCAUCAGCUAGNGGUGAGGUAACGGCUCACCAAGGCUUAGACGGGUAGCUGGUCUGAGAGGAUGAUCAGCCACACUGGGACUGCGACACGGCCCAGACUCCUACGGGAGGCAGCAGUGGGGAAUAUUGCACAAUGGGCGAAAGCCUGAUGCAGCGACGCCGCGUGAGGGAUGAAUG